CUUCUUUUCUACCGAGUGCUUGCACUCAUUUGAAAAGAGGAGUGGCGGACGGGUGAGUAACACGUGGGUAACCUGCCCAUCAGAGGGGGAUAACACUUGGAAACAGGUGCUAAUACCGCAUAAUAGUCGACACCGCAUGGUGUUGAUUUGAAAGACGCUUUCGGGUGUCACCGAUGGAUGGACCCGCGGUGCAUUAGCUAGUUGGUGAGGUAACGGCUCACCAAGGCGAUGAUGCAUAGCCGACCUGAGAGGGUGAUCGGCCACACUGGGACUGAGACACGGCCCAGACUCCUACGGGAGGCAGCAGUAGGGAAUCUUCGGCAAUGGACGAAAGUCUGACCGAGCAACGCCGCGUGAGUGAAGAAGGUUUUCGGAUCGUAAAACUCUGUUGUUAGAGAAAGAACAAGUAGGAGAGUAACUGCUCUUACCUUGACGGUAUCUAACCAGAAAAGCCACGGGCUAACUACGUGCCAGCAGCCGCGGUAAUACGUAGGGUGGCAAGCGUUGUCCGGGAUUUAUUGGGCGGUGAAGCGAGCGGCGGCGGUUUCUUAAGUCUGAUGUGAAAGCCCCCCGGCUCAACCGGGGAGGGUCAUUGGAAACUGGGAGACUUGAGUGCAGAAGAGGAGAGUGGAAUUCUAUGUGUAGCGGUGAAAUGCGUAGAUAUAUGGAGGAAACCCAGUGGCGAAAGGCGACUCUCUGGUCUGUAACUGACGCUGAGGCUCGAAAGCGUGGGG
Molecule: ribosomal RNA, 734 nt
Filed under: uncultured bacterium
Lineage: Bacteria
Description: bacterial SSU rRNA
Rfam family: Bacterial small subunit ribosomal RNA
Source: RNAcentral